UCCAUAUGCUGCGUGCGUGGCCCUAAAAAAAAAAGCUAAAUAAAUAAAGUGACAUUUGGAGUCCUGUUGUCACUGCAGGCUGAGCUCUGCGGGCAACCCGGGGCGUGACCUUCACCCACUGGGAUGGAGGAAGCAGCCUAGGCCUUGGCAGUGAGGACCCCCAAGG
RNAcentral lists this small RNA (166 nucleotides) under Sus scrofa (pig). Its description in RNAcentral is "Pvt1 onco conserved region 2 (ENSSSCG00070004621.1)". The stretch from base 42 to 166 matches the Rfam family "Pvt1 oncogene conserved region 2", at positions 44 to 172 of the family's 172-position model. Lineage: Eukaryota; Metazoa; Chordata; Mammalia; Artiodactyla; Suidae. The record is from RNAcentral.